Non-coding RNA from Pelobates cultripes (western spadefoot toad), 287 nucleotides. The record is from the annotation of a GenBank genome assembly. NCBI's taxonomy places the organism in Eukaryota, Metazoa, Chordata, Amphibia, Anura, Pelobatidae.
CUCCUAUCUCACCAUGUGCUUCUCAUUCUAUUCAUGUUUAACUUUUGUGCCAUAACAAUAACCCCUUAAAUACCCAAAUAUUUGUUUAUUUGUAUUUUUCUCUCGUUCCACUCUUUCCUUUCUUUAUUGCUGUGCCUUUUAAUUUUCCCUUUUCUCAGCUUUUAUUUGUAAUAUUUUUGCAUCAUGCUAGCUUUUCUACAUUCUCUCUGUCUACCUUUUAUUUCAAAUUUUGGAUUUAAAACCAUAAAAAUAGGUAUUAGAAAUGCUGGUGCAUAGAUGUUUAGAAG